Molecule: long non-coding RNA, 339 nt
Filed under: Capsella rubella
Lineage: Eukaryota; Viridiplantae; Streptophyta; Magnoliopsida; Brassicales; Brassicaceae
Description: long non-coding RNA (CRUB_LNC003574)
Source: RNAcentral
CAACAUGUAAAGAGAUGUCGUCAUUUCAGCUUUGUCGGCCUUGAAUUCGAAACUUCUUUGAAAAGAGAUGAUUUACGUUUUUAAAUACAAACACAGUUUAUCAGUAAACUGGUCUAGAUAAUUCUUUAUAUAAAUCCAUUUUGUUUUAGGUUACAAAAAAAAAAAAAAAAAAAACUAGUAUAACGUUGUUAAUUAAACCUUACUACUAAUCAAGCAGCCAUAAAUAUGUGUGGGUUGCGUGAGUCAAACAAUCCUUUGUCAUGACUCAUGUGGUUUGAAAUGAUCGAAUCCUCAUUGGUUUCUAUUCUAAAGAAUUAAAUCCUCAUAAAUGGGUUUUUA